Diachasma alloeum is the source of this 363-nucleotide long non-coding RNA. RefSeq lists it as uncharacterized. Lineage: Eukaryota; Metazoa; Arthropoda; Insecta; Hymenoptera; Braconidae. The record is from RefSeq and is a predicted model, not a curated record. The transcript has 3 exons.
GCUGAGAUUAUGCCGUAUAUGAGGGAUCGGAGUGAUUGGAGGUGCCAGUCGUUGCCGAUCUAUCGAAACGAAGAGAGUAAAUAAUCAUGAAAUUCACCGCCGUCCUGUUAUUUCUCGCCGCAGUCAUCAUGGCUGUCGCUGGUUCCCCAUUCAGGGACAAGCAUAGACCAAGUAGACCAGGAAAUGGAGGAUUCCCAACAUUCCCUGGACAAGGACCAUUCAAUCCUAAGUUACCAUCAGGACCGUGGGGCAAACCAGGCAGAAACUGAACAUCCACCAAUCUGGGCAUCUCAAUACUCAACCUCACUCCAUCAACACUUCAGAAUGUACACGAAUAAAUAAAAUCACACAUUAAAUUCCGCA